RNAcentral lists this transfer RNA (76 nucleotides) under Candidatus Firestoneibacteriota bacterium. RNAcentral describes it as "tRNA-Lys". It matches the Rfam family "tRNA". Rfam says of the family: Transfer RNA (tRNA) molecules are approximately 80 nucleotides in length. Their secondary structure includes four short double-helical elements and three loops (D, anti-codon, and T loops). Lineage: Bacteria; Candidatus Firestoneibacteriota. The record is from RNAcentral.
GAGCCGGUAGCUCAGUUGGUAGAGCACCGCCCUUUUAAGGCGAUUGUCGAGAGUUCGAUCCUCUCCCGGCUCACCA